CAGAAGAUAAUAUGUCAAAACGGGUGAAAUUGCCUCAAGUCCCAUAGCUUAAAGCUGAAUUACCUGAACAGCUCACUGCAUAUGAAUAAGGCAAUGGAGUGUGGAUGAAUAUCUUGAAGAGGAUCUUCUGAAUCAUUCUUCCCAAUGGAAUACCAUAGUCUCCAGUGCAAAACAAGAAAUGCUGACAGGAUUUUGUGACAGUGAACAAACCAUCAGAGAAUUCAGCAUCCAGAUGUUACAUAGAUCAAUAUAUCAUUGAUCCACAACAAUUUAGAGCAAAAAGCUAAUAAAUUGAGGGGUUUUUAUACUUUUUGCUUCUAUUAAGCUCUGACUGCAACAAAUUUUUGUAGUCU
This is a long non-coding RNA of Lagopus leucura (white-tailed ptarmigan), 353 nucleotides long. RefSeq lists it as uncharacterized. The record is from RefSeq and is a predicted model, not a curated record. The transcript has 3 exons. NCBI's taxonomy places the organism in Eukaryota, Metazoa, Chordata, Aves, Galliformes, Phasianidae.